GUAGGGAAUAUUGGACAAUGGGCGCAAGCCUGAUCCAGCCAUGCCGCGUGAGUGAUGAAGGCCCUAGGGUUGUAAAGCUCUUUCAGUGGGGACGAUAAUGACGGUACCCACAGAAGAAGCCCCGGCUAACUUCGUGCCAGCAGCCGCGGUAAUACGAAGGGGGCUAGCGUUGUUCGGAUUUACUGGGCGUAAAGCGCACGUAGGCGGAUCGUUAAGUCGAGGGUGAAAUCCUGGAGCUCAACUCCAGAACUGCCUUCGAUACUGGCGAUCUUGAGUCCGGAAGAGGUGAGUGGAACUCCUAGUGUAGAGGUGGAAUUCGUAGAUAUUAGGAAGAACACCAGUGGCGAAGGCGGCUCACUGGUCCGGUACUGACGCUGAGGUGCGAAAGCGUGGGGAGCAAACAGGAUUAGAAACCCGGGUAGUCC
This 425-nucleotide ribosomal RNA is filed under the name uncultured bacterium. RNAcentral's name for it is "partial 16S ribosomal RNA". It matches the Rfam family "Bacterial small subunit ribosomal RNA", at positions 354 to 796 of the family's 1533-position model. The record is from RNAcentral.